This 232-nucleotide ribosomal RNA is filed under the name uncultured bacterium. RNAcentral's name for it is "partial 16S ribosomal RNA". It matches the Rfam family "Bacterial small subunit ribosomal RNA", at positions 99 to 334 of the family's 1533-position model. The record is from RNAcentral.
CGGACGGGUGAGUAAUGUCUGGGAAACUGCCCGAUGAGGGGGAGUAACUACUGGAAACGGUAGCUAAUACCGCAUAACGUCGCAAGACCAAAGGGGGGAACCCGUGGGCCUCUUGCCAUCGGAUGUGCCCAGAUGGGAUUAGCUAGUAGGUGGGGUAACGGCUCACCUAGGCGACGAUCCCUAGCUGGUCUGAGAGGAUGACCAGCCACACUGGAACUGAGACACGGUCCAG